UGCUCCAGAAUAGCUCUUGGAAACGGGUGGUAAUGCUGGAUGCUCCAACUUGACGCAUGUCUUGUUGGGAAAGUGUUUAGUGGCAUGGGAUGGGGUCGCGUCCUAUCAGCUUGUAGGCGGGGUAAUGGCCCACCUAGGCUUCGACGGGUAGCCGGCCUGAGAGGGCGGACGGCCACAUUGGGACUGAGAUACGGCCCAGACUCCUACGGGAGGCAGCAGCC
This 221-nucleotide ribosomal RNA is filed under the name uncultured Gardnerella sp. RNAcentral describes it as "partial 16S ribosomal RNA". It matches the Rfam family "Bacterial small subunit ribosomal RNA", at positions 134 to 355 of the family's 1533-position model. The record is from RNAcentral. Lineage: Bacteria; Bacillati; Actinomycetota; Actinomycetes; Bifidobacteriales; Bifidobacteriaceae.